This is a long non-coding RNA of Pyrus x bretschneideri (Chinese white pear), 389 nucleotides long. RefSeq lists it as uncharacterized. The record is from RefSeq and is a predicted model, not a curated record. The transcript is spliced from 2 exons. Lineage: Eukaryota; Viridiplantae; Streptophyta; Magnoliopsida; Rosales; Rosaceae.
UUGACAGGUUUCAAACCUGAGACCUCAUGGGACAACUGAAGUACCUCAGCCAUUACCAAUGUAGCCCUGUUACUUAUAACUCCCCAAGUUUCAAUUUAGAGGUCAAAAUUUGUCUGAAAAUAGUGAGAUUCAAAAGGUAAAGAAGAAAAAUUGUACAGCAAGAGAAUACAUUCAUGUCCCAAGAAGACUAGUACCUGGUCUUAACUUUUUUGUAACAUCUGUCAUAAAUAUCAAACAUAUUUAGGAAUUUGUUAUUAGGAUCUGGUGCACAGAUUCUUGUCCUACAAGGAUUAGAAAAGAAUUAAGUUUUCUUGUACAAUUAGAUUAGGAGUCCUAGAAGCAGAAUUGCAAUAGGAAAGAAACUGUAAUUUUAUAUCCAUAUAGAAGCA